AUGAAUUUAACCUGGUAUGCAUCC
RNAcentral lists this non-coding RNA (24 nucleotides) under Arabidopsis thaliana (thale cress). The record is from RNAcentral. Lineage: Eukaryota; Viridiplantae; Streptophyta; Magnoliopsida; Brassicales; Brassicaceae.